Molecule: ribosomal RNA, 399 nt
Filed under: uncultured bacterium
Lineage: Bacteria
Description: bacterial SSU rRNA
Rfam family: Bacterial small subunit ribosomal RNA
Source: RNAcentral
GAGUGGUGGAGUAACCCUACCGAAAGGAGGGCUAAUACAGCAUAAGACCACGGCGUCCUCGGAUGUCGCGGCCAAAGCGGGCCGUCUUCAUGAAAGCUCGUGCUCGGGGAGUGAGCCCGCGGCCCAUCAGCUUGUUGGCGAGGUAAAAGCUCACCAAGGCAAAGACGGGUAGCUGGUCUGAGAGGAUGAACAGCCACACUGGAACUGAGACACGGUCCAGACUCCUACGGGAGGCAGCAGUGGGGAAUCUUGCGCAAUGGGCGAAAGCCUGACGCAGCGACGCCGCGUGAGCGAUGAAGGCCCUCGGGUCGUAAAGCUCUGUGGGGAGGAAAGAAUAAGGGUAGGUUAAUAUCCUGCCUGAUGACGGUACCUCCUUAGCAAGCACCGGCUAACUCUGUG